Molecule: long non-coding RNA, 106 nt
Organism: Sapajus apella (tufted capuchin)
Lineage: Eukaryota; Metazoa; Chordata; Mammalia; Primates; Cebidae
Exons: 3
Source: RefSeq, a predicted model, not a curated record
AUAGAAAUACCAUUUGACCCAGCAAUCCCAUUACUGGGUAUGUACCGAAAGGAUUAUAAAUAAUUCUACCGUAAAGACACAUGAAAACAGAAAUCAUUCUAUGAUA